GACGAACGCUGGCGGCGUGCUUAACACAUGCAAGUCGAACGGAAAGGCCCUGCUUUUGUGGGGUGCUCGAGUGGCGAACGGGUGAGUAACACGUGAGUAACCUGCCCUUGACUUUGGGAUAACUUCAGGAAACUGGGGCUAAUACCGGAUAGGAGCUCCUGCUGCAUGGUGGGGGUUGGAAAGUUUCGGCGGUUGGGGAUGGACUCGCGGCUUAUCAGCUUGUUGGUGGGGUAGUGGCUUACCAAGGCUUUGACGGGUAGCCGGCCUGAGAGGGUGACCGGCCACAUUGGGACUGAGAUACGGCCCAGACUGCUACGGGAGGCAGCAGGGGGGAAUAUUGCACAAUGGGCGGAAGCCUGAUGCAGCAACGCCGCGUGCGGGAUGACGUCCUUCGGGUGGUAAACCGCUUUCGCCUGUGACGAAGCGUGAGUGACGGUAAUGGGUAAAGAAGCACCGGCUAACUACGUG
This 468-nucleotide ribosomal RNA is filed under the name uncultured bacterium. Its description in RNAcentral is "partial 16S ribosomal RNA". It matches the Rfam family "Bacterial small subunit ribosomal RNA", at positions 28 to 507 of the family's 1533-position model. The record is from RNAcentral.